AUUGAACGCUGGCGGCAGGCCUAACACAUGCAAGUCGAGCGGAGCGGCGGACGGGUGAGUAAUGCCUAGGAAUCUGCCUGGUAGUGGGGGAUAACGUCCGGAAACGGGCGCUAAUACUGCAUACUCUCAGAUGAGCCUAGGCCGGAUUAGCUAGUUGGUGGGGUAAAGGCCUACCAAGGCGACGAUCCGUAACUGGUCUGAGAGGAUGAUCAGUCACACGGGAACUGAGACAAGGUCCAGGCUCCUACGGGAGGCAGGAGUGGGGAAUAUUGGACAAUGGGCGAAAGCCUGAUCCAGCCCUGCCGCGUGGUGGAAGGAGGUUUUCGGAGUGUAAAGCACUUUAAGGUGGGAGGAGGUACCAACAGAAUAAGCACCGGCUAACUUCGUGCCAGCAGCCGCGGUAAUUC
RNAcentral lists this ribosomal RNA (407 nucleotides) under uncultured bacterium. RNAcentral's name for it is "partial 16S ribosomal RNA". It matches the Rfam family "Bacterial small subunit ribosomal RNA", at positions 30 to 526 of the family's 1533-position model. The record is from RNAcentral.